This 462-nucleotide ribosomal RNA is filed under the name Triticum aestivum (bread wheat). RNAcentral's name for it is "partial small subunit ribosomal RNA". Lineage: Eukaryota; Viridiplantae; Streptophyta; Magnoliopsida; Poales; Poaceae. The record is from RNAcentral.
AUGACGGAAAUCAUCAGAAGUAUGUAUUCAGCCUCAUCAAGGUUCAUCAAUCCGAAGUCCACUUCACAGUUUCAUGGACCGGAGAAGAUUAGACAUUUGUGCACACAGCAAGAGAAGCACGGGCACGAAGGCGGCAUUCUUUCCUGUGGACUGGCAAAUAAAGAGUUUACUGGCUUCGAGCGGCUGUAUGUAUUGAAACCAAAGAAGAGACUCUUCUUGCAGCAUGCCUUAGUCCUAGUACAUUGUAGUCUGUACAUUUUCAAGGGUUUUUUCAGAGUCAGCCCGUUUUCUGUUGCUAUAGUUCGCAAGCAUGCUCUGUUGCAUCGAACAGUGAGGACGAUAUCUUAUUUGUUAGUACUAAAUUGCUUAACGGUUAAGCAGGAUUUGAUUACGAGAAAAUACUUGUAUCUACCCAGGCUUGUCAAAGAACUUGACCAGCUGGAAACUUACUUUACCAUCUGA